CAAACAAACAGGAUGAGAUGAAAUCAAUACUAUUAAAUAAAAAAUACUAAGCACAGUCAUACUCACUGCCACACACACACACACACACACACACACACACACACACACACACACACACAGACGCUCACAAAUGUGGAACAUGUUCAUGUUCAUACUAGCGGCAUGUACAUAGACAUCCUCACUGCGUCUCUCACACUGACUGCCACACACACACACACACUCACACACAUUCACUGACACCCCUCACUGAGAUGAACUUACAAGAAAAUCAUUAAUCAUAAUUAUCACACACACACACACACACACACACACACACACACAGGAACAUGAACAUGUAUACUAAUAGGCACGCAUCCUAACUGCCACUACAUGAAUGCACAUGAACACCCCUCCACCUACACACACACACACACACACACACACACACACACACAUACACAUGCCCCUAAACCCAUACACUCCUGUGUACACAAUUUCACACGUGCACACACUUGCAGAAGAAGAAAAAAACAAAAUCCAAUCGUCAUCAACAAUACUGACACACAAGACUGAAAACUACAGCAUGCCAUGACACUUAAUGACAUCAUCAAUCAUCAGUCACAUGACCUCCCUCCCAUCCUAGUGGCUGGGACCCUCUCCGUAUCUUCAGGUAACGAGCAAUAAGUGCAUUGUGAAGCGCAUUGUGUAUACUCUAUAUGUGAUGCAGGACAGACACGGCUUGUUAAAAGACACUACAUGAACAUGAAUAAAAUCGCACACAGCUGGAUGAGUAGGUUUCUGAAAGCUACUGCUGAAAUGUUUAAAUGCGUUCUCAUCGUAAGACUACACGUUAAACGGCCAUGAAGGAAGAUAUGAGAAAGAUUAAAAAUAACUCUCGUCCCAGAUCCGUUCUUCUUUUCCAUCCCUUCAUCGAUCCGGUGGUGGAGUCUCCUAGUGCAUGUGUGUGUGUGUGUGUGUGUGUGUGUGUGUGUAUGUGUGUGUGUGUGUGUGUGUGCGUGUCUAUGUGUGUGAGUGCUCAUCCCCAGGUAAGUGCAGUUCUUGUGUCACCUGUGCCCACUCCUUCGUGGUACCUCGAUCUCUUUCUGUCUUUCAUCUGCCUCUCUCUUU
This is a long non-coding RNA of Ictalurus punctatus (channel catfish), 1107 nucleotides long. The record is from Ensembl. Lineage: Eukaryota; Metazoa; Chordata; Actinopteri; Siluriformes; Ictaluridae.